UAUGUCUGCAAAGGCUGGUUCCAUGUCACAUUGCUUAUUCGAGACUAGAUCUACAAAUAACACUGCAGAUUUUGUUACCAUCAACUUGCAUUAUACAACUGACAGACUGAAACGGUUGGACUCAAAAAUCUACAUUUGUGUUCCACUGGAGAAACAAAGUCACCUACAUCUUGGAUGGCCUGGGGACUACCUGACCUGUUCCUGUUAAGAGCUAGUCACUCUUUGUGGAAUGUUCCUGGCCCAUUUUUCCCAAGUUUUUACAAAAGUUUUUUCAAUGACCUCAAAAUUGAUGUGUAAAAAUUAUAAUAAACUUGAAUUUGUUUAAAUAUG
Molecule: long non-coding RNA, 330 nt
Organism: Paramisgurnus dabryanus
Lineage: Eukaryota; Metazoa; Chordata; Actinopteri; Cypriniformes; Cobitidae
Source: RefSeq, a predicted model, not a curated record